Molecule: ribosomal RNA, 299 nt
Filed under: uncultured bacterium
Lineage: Bacteria
Description: partial 16S ribosomal RNA
Rfam family: Bacterial small subunit ribosomal RNA
Source: RNAcentral
CGCGAUUGGAGCGGCCGAUAUCAGAUUAGGUAGUUGGUGAGGUAAAGGCUCACCAAGCCGACGAUCUGUAGCUGGUCUGAGAGGACGACCAGCCACACUGGGACUGAGACACGGCCCAGACUCCUACGGGAGGCAGCAGUGGGGAAUUUUUGGACAAUGGGCGCAAGCCUGAUCCAGCCAUUCCGCGUGCAGGAUGAAGGCCUCGGGUUGUAAACUGCUUUUGUACGGAACGAAACGGUGAGCUCUAAUACAGUUUGCUAAUGACGGUACCGUAAGAAUAAGCACCGGCUAACUACGUG